GGGGCCACAGAGGAAGACCAAUCUUCUUCUCCACAAUUCCAUAACCUAAUACAUCACUCACAAAAACAACUCAAAUUAACCCACAACACACGGACCUCCAUUUUUCUUGGCUCUCACAUGAAAUUCACACACACACUGGUCACACCAUUACACAUAUACAGACGCCAAACACAAACACACACUGAGAUCGUGAAUCGGAGAAUCAAAGAGAGGAAGUAGUGGGUCGAGGAACAGAGGGAGAGAGAGCUGCAGAACAGAGAGAGAUGCAAGAGAGAGAGAGAGAUCUUCGGAAGAGAGAGAGAGGGAAAAGGUGUAGGCUGACUGUUUUCCGGUGAGCUUUCGCCAGAAACCGGCCGGAAUCCGACACUGAGAACACCAUCGAUCUCAAAACCACCUAAAAAUUGACCAAAAAUUCAGUUCAUUCAAAAUCGCCAUAACCAGCACCCUGACUCCGAUGCAAUCGACCGGAAAACGAGCUAUAUAGUGACGUUUCUUGGUGAUACGAAUCGGGUUUCGGUGUUUUGUCUGCCUCUUUGUGAUUUUUGAGUUCGAAUCAGAUUUUGGGGUAGUAUUUUUGACUGGUUUUAACUCUAUUCGAAGUUGAAUUCAAUACCGGGUUGGAUUUUGUUUUGUGUCGAGGUUUGAUUGAGGUUUUCGAAUGCAGUCUCGACUUUUGGUCACGUAAUCUGAUACAAUAAAGCUCUAAUUGAGGUUCUAUUCUACUCCUUUCUUCUUCUUAUAUCAUUGUUGAUGAUAUUAGGUGCAUUGAAUUGAAUAUAUGUGUUGGUUUAAUUCUUGUUGGUGAUAAACGCAUGUUUGACUUGAUCUGUGGUUAGUUACCUUGAUUGUGGUAUAGUGAAAUGAUGUAUUGUUUGAGAAUUAAAAUUGGUUGUUGGGUUGGGAUUGAAAAGUUGAUAGAAAGGGUGAAUUUGUUUAUUUUUAUUUUCGGAAUAAGUUUGAAUAUUGUCGGAACGUGAUACAAUUUUGAUGUGUGGAAACAGAUAGGCAAAUGUAGGUGCGGUUAGACGAAUUUUAGGAUUGAUGACUUUUGAAUGUGUGAAUGUUUGUUGAAUGGUUUUUUUUAGUUUUAACGCACAAAAAUUGAGAAAAAAUGUAUUCAUUUUAUCGGGGAAUGCCCCGAGGUUUAUGUACUUAUUCUCCGGGGAAUGCCCCGAAGUAUCUUGUACUCGAAGGAUGUUCGUGAUGAAGGUUCGAGGCGUCGGGUAGAGCACUAGUCUAGAAUUGGUUCAGAAUAGGAUUUUUACAUUUCUGCAUUUUUUUAUUUUUGGAUUGUAAUAAUUGGACUGGACAUUAUAAUUUUGGAUUUGUUUGUUU
RNAcentral lists this long non-coding RNA (1335 nucleotides) under Capsicum annuum. Its description in RNAcentral is "long non-coding RNA (CANN_LNC009375)". Lineage: Eukaryota; Viridiplantae; Streptophyta; Magnoliopsida; Solanales; Solanaceae. The record is from RNAcentral.